GUCCGUAGACACUGGAAUAGCAGAUUUGAUUCCCUAACUGCAAGUAGUUUAUGUUUUGCACACCUGUUUUCAUCUACUUAGUUAUUGGAAAGACUGCUAGAAAAAUAAAGACCAAUCGAGUGAAACUGACUCUUUGUAUUUUUGCAGUGCUGGUUGCUAUUUGUAACCUUCAUUUUCCUGACAAUUCUUGUGAAUUUAUAAUCUGUAGAACACCUGUUGUUAUAUGGGAUAUUGCUUUGGUAAUGUUUUCAUUAAGGCAUCAGUAGGGUAAAAUAUGUUCAUAAAGUGUGUUGUUAAUUGUUUGAUUAGGCCAACUUGGCCGGUUGUCCUCAGCAACAGCUCUAGAAGUGUAACAUAAUAGUGUAUGGGCACGUCAAAAGCAGAAUUAAUUAAGGUAUCGAAGUUGGUUCCUCUCUGAGAUGGAUGCUUUUUGUUGGUACAAAUACAUGAAUAUGGCCAGUGCGUUGUGACAGGCUCGAAUUGAUCGAAUCGGGCCUGGUUGAAUUUAUUGCUGAAUGGAGCUAAAUAGACUAUCAGUCCAAAUUAUCACCACCGACUCUGUAUAUUAGUGUCUGCCUCUCCUGUUGUGUUGUCUUUUCCAUCCAGUCAUGGUUCUUGCAGUAUGAGUCUCACGGGCAGUAAUUAAAUUGUCAUUCUGCUUUUUGAUCACUACCUUCCUCUGAGAGUUUUCUUUUUUAGUGGUCUAUGGACAUUUUCGCCGGCAAAUUUCUAUAAUCCCACUAUCAUCAACCUGCAUGCAUGUAAUAUCUUUUUUAUUUUCGAAAGGUAAUCUAUGCAUCAGUACUAAUUUGUCAAAAAAAAUUGCUUCUUCAAGAAAAUCACCUGGACUAGCUGCAUGUUGUUAAACAUUCUUAUAUAGUUAUAUCCCAUGGAUUAUCAUCAUAUUCUCCGAGUAAUUUAGAAGUUGAUCCUUGAUUUGUUUGACCACCAAGAAGCAACCCUCUGUAUGAGAAUCCUUCCUGCAACAAUUUCAUAGCAAUUUCAUAUUAUUUCUCUUAUGCUAAUUGAAACAUAUUUUUCUCAUUUUUUCUAAUAGUAUUGGUGCAUGCCUGUGUGAAGAUUCAUCUUGAACAUCGUGUUGCUGGAAAGCUUUGUGAGUAUAUCCCUGAAUCAAUCUGCAGUACAAUAUUUGCAAUUUCAAUUAGCGUAGAAUCAUAGCAUGGUAGAAGUUACAACAUAAGACAAUUCUGAUUGAAGCAACAAUGAGUGACUAUCUACAUACAUCGUAGAUAGACCCCCAGAGAUGGGAACCUCAGUCUCUCAUUUCUCAUUCUUCUCAGUUUUUAUCUCUUUUCAUUGUUUAGCUCAGUGUAAUCAUUUUUAUCUCAGUUUAUCAUUGUUUAUCAUUUACCUCAGUCUCUCUCUCUGAUUAUAGUAUUCAUUCUUUAGUUUCUUCAUUACUACUUUCUUUUCUUUAUUUCUUCAUGUUAGUCUCUUAUUUUCUCAGUUUUUCAUUUUAAUAGAGCUGCUGCCGGCGUCCUUUUCAUUAUCUCUGUCACUUAGUCCUAUAAUUUAUCUCAUUUUGUCUCUUUAUUUUUAUUUUCUCCUCAGUAUUCAGGCAUCUUUGCUCAGUCCCUCCUUCUCUGUCUCUUCUUCUCAGUUUUAUUUGUUCAGUCUUUCCUUCUUCAGUCUCUCAGUUUAAUUUGCUCGUUUUAAUUUAUUUACUCAGUCUUUAUUUCAGUCUCUUCUCAUAUUUAUUUGCUCAGUCUUUUAUUCCUUGGUCUCUCAGUCUUAUUCUCUCAGUGCUCCUUUUUCCAUUUUCAUUCCUCCGAUUUCCUCAGUUCAUAUGAAAAUUCUAUGAAGUUUCUGAUUUUUUAGUCUUGCAUUCUUACUUGUAUCUUAACAUGGGGACUUCUGCCUACGUCUAUACUUAAGUUAGAUGGAUGCGGGCUCUCUCUCAGGUAUAGAGAUGUUGAACGCCCUAUUUAGCCCCUCUUGUCUCUGUUAGGACAAGUUGUUGUUUGGCAAUAUUCAACCAUUCAGUCUGGCGCUCCAAUAAUCAGGUAUCUCGCUUGGGUGGAAAUUGCUAAUAAUAUACAACAUCAUGCUACAAAUGAAUUGUUCUCAACCACCUGUAAUUUGUUAUCAUGUCAUCUCAUUCGUUGUUAAUCUCAUUUAUUGAUGAUCUCAUUCAAUUUUAUUUUCUCCAGUCAAUUUGCAGUACCUCAUUAGUUUGUUUCUCAGUAUAUUAUUGCCUCAGUUGUUUUCUUAAGUCUCUCAAUGAUGAUUCAUCAAGCAUUGCAAAAUGUUUGAUCAUUUCAUUUUUGUUUUGUAUCUUGAAUCUUAAGUUACCCGUUGAUAAAAUCAGACAAUAUUGGCUGCUUAAACGAUGAUGAACAACAUCGCUGAUGACGGUAGAUUUUGAUGGUGGAUACAAGUCCACUUUUGCCAUAGAUCAGAGGAGGAGAUCAAACAGUGGAUGCUUGUUCGGUUCUACAAGGAACAACAAGAAAUCGUAUAAGCUGGACAUGCAUUUCCUAACUCGGUACAGUACUGAGUACUAAGCUGUGAUAAGGCAAGCCAGAGAUCUCAGGAAAUUCUACCCCCUGGUAUAUGUCCUCCGCUCCUACUCUAUGAAAUAUGAACACAUCUUCAUGCCAUGUUACUACAUCUGUUUCAAUUGAUCAAUAAGCUGAUAACAAAUAGCAGAAUAGUAGCUGUUUUAUGAGUUGCCUUCUUCCUAGCUUCUUUUCUCCAUACAGUCGUAUCAUGAUCAUGUGGCAAACAUAUAGCUAUAGAAACAUAAACUUUGGCGGUUUUUUAUCAGUGCUCCACCAAGCAAAGUAGGCUUAGGUCAUACUAGCAUCCAUUGUAGUUUUACCCUAUGACCGCCUGGUGACAUAGGAAAUUUUUGAAUCAUUCUUAAAUUGACAGAAAGAGUCACAGAAACCGAGAGGUGGCAGCAGCAUAGUAAGGCUGGUGGCAUAAUAUCAUCCCUUUCUUCAGUUUUAGCUCAUAGCCAUUUUUUGAAAUAUGUUGGACGUGCAUAUGACAAUUAACAUGACUGGCCUAGGGAUAUGCCCGUACACCGAAGGAUGUUGUGGUUUUCACUACUUGUUGAUACCAUCAAGCAUUUACCUUGCAGACCCAAGACAAUUCGGUGGGAGAUGUACACGAUUGAUCAA
This is a long non-coding RNA of Lolium rigidum, 3146 nucleotides long. RefSeq lists it as uncharacterized. The record is from RefSeq and is a predicted model, not a curated record. The transcript has 3 exons. NCBI's taxonomy places the organism in Eukaryota, Viridiplantae, Streptophyta, Magnoliopsida, Poales, Poaceae.